Molecule: ribosomal RNA, 301 nt
Filed under: uncultured bacterium
Lineage: Bacteria
Description: partial 16S ribosomal RNA
Rfam family: Bacterial small subunit ribosomal RNA
Source: RNAcentral
CAGUAGCCACGGGAAUACGCAGGUGGCAAGCGUUGUCCGGAAUUAUUGGGCGUAAAGCGCGCGCAGGCGGCCUAUCCAGUCUGUCUUAAAAGUUCGGGGCUCAACCCCGUGAUGGGAUGGAAACUAGUAGGCUAGAGUAUCGGAGAGGAAAGCGGAAUUCCUAGUGUAGCGGUGAAAUGCGUAGAUAUUAGGAAGAACACCAGUGGCGAAGGCGGCUUUCUGGACGAAAACUGACGCUGAGGCGCGAAAGCCAGGGGAGCGAACGGGAUUAGAUACCCCAGUAGUCCCUGUCUCUUAUACC